RNAcentral lists this long non-coding RNA (3768 nucleotides) under Olea europaea subsp. europaea. The record is from RNAcentral. Lineage: Eukaryota; Viridiplantae; Streptophyta; Magnoliopsida; Lamiales; Oleaceae.
AAGGGGAAGUAAGGAGAAGAGAAGAGAGGAACCGGGGAAGAACACAGAGAGGAGAAUGGGGCUGUAGCCAAACUUUUAUUCAAUCAAAUUCAUCAUCUCCAAAUUACAAACCAAGAUAGGUUUAAAUAAUAAAAACCUAGAAAUAUAGGGUCAAGCCCAUUACUUAAGUCCUAACUAAAAUACGUAAACUUAAAUAAAAGUCCAAUUGAAACAAUAAUAAAAGUCCAACUAAAAUACUGAAACAAUAAUAAAAAUCCAACUAUAAUGAUGUCCUCAUCAAUCUAACUCUCCAUAAAGGAAUGCAUUCAUCACGUCUAGUUGCCAUAAUUUCCAGCCUUCGAAAGCAACCAAUGAAAUAAUUGUUCGAACAGUCAAUAUUUUAGCAACAGGGCUGUAAGUUUCCUUGUAGUCUAAACCAUAUUGUUGGGAAAAAUCACGAGCAACAAGUCAGGCUUUAUACCUAUUAAUAGUACCAUUGACCUUUUUCUUCAACUUGUAAAUCCGUUUACAAGUAACCAAACUAGUGUUCUUAAGCUUUGGAGCAAGCUACCAAGUGUUGUUCUUGUGUAAAGCUGAUAUUUCCUCCUACAUUGCCUCUUCCCAUUCAGAAAUCCCUUUAGCUUCAUUGUAGGAUUUAGGCUCAUUCCCACCUGAAUCUCCCAUGAAAAAGCAAGAUAAAACAGAAAAAUAAUUUAACUGAACUUCAUAAUCAGCUAGAUGAUCAGGUUGCUUUCUUUGCCUAGAAGACCUUCGAAUUAUAGUUUCAAUAGCCUCGUCUUGUUGAAUGUUUUCUCCAGAUGGAAUAGUAUUGCUCCCCCUUUCACUUGAUGCAACAUCACUAAAGAAAGGCCCAAGAUCAACCGUGCUACUAUCCUUGUUAUCAACUUGAUGCAAUGCCACUUUAUCAAACACUACAUCACCGGAAACAAUAACAUUCAUUGUUUCUGGAUCCAUACAUCUCCAUCCUUUCCUAUGAGUAUCAUAACCAACAAAAAUACAACACCUUGCCCUUGGAUCAAGUUUAGUCUGAUUAUUUUUCAGUAUAUGGACAUAACAAAUGGAACCAAAAACUCGAAAAUAACUCACAUUCGGUGUGUGGUGGAAUAAUGCUUCAAAAGGUGAUUAUUCUAUCCCUGGCCAAGGAGGUAUGCGAUUUAUGACAUGACAGGUAGAUUGAAUAGCUGCUGCCCAUAACUCUCUUGCAAGAUUCUUUUCAUGCAACCACGACAAGCAUAUAGCCGUUAGAUGUACCAACUUGUGUUCAACAACCCCAUUUUGUUGUGGAGUUUCUGGAAACGUUAUCUUACAUCGAAUUCCAUGCUUCCUGCAGUAUUCAAGGAAUUCAUUGGAUAUAUAUUCCCCUCCAUUAUCGGUGUGUAAACACUUUAUUGGUAGCCCAAAUUCCUUCUCCAUCUACUCUUUGAAUUGAAUAAAAUUGGAGAGAGCUUCACUUUUGUUUUCCAAGAAAUAUACCCAAGUGAAACGAGAAAAGUCAUCCACAAUAACCAUCACAUAAUGAAAACCAAUAAAACAAGGUAUUUUUAUUGGUCCCAUAAGAUCUGAAUGAACUAGCCGUAGUGCUGUAGAUGCUCUAUUCUUUGAAUUUGGGAAACGAAGCCAAUGUGAUUUUCCAUAUUGUCAACCAGCACACACCACAUCAAGAUGAAAAUCUUUAAAUAGAGGAACUCCAUCCAGAAGUUUCUUUGUGGAAAUUUUCUGUAGUAACUGAUUACCAACAUGGCCUAACCGAGCAUGCCAAAGUGCCACACUUGCAUUUUGGCCUCUCUUUUCAACAUAAGCAUCACUUGUAGACAAAACAUAUAGUGAUUCUCUCCUUUUUCUAGUAAGUAAAACAUCAGCAACAAUAUGUUUUACAUUUGAAAGAAUAUGUACAUUAUUUGGACCAAAAAGUACAUACCUCCCAGAAUCAACUAAUUGAGAGACUGAGGCGAGAUUCUUCUUUAAACCUAGAACAUGAUAUACAUUUUUGAGAAAAAUACCAUCAGCAUUUGAUGUAUCAGUUCUAAAAUUAAGAAGCCCUUCUUUAACUACAGGAUGCAGCAAAUUAUCGGCUAUUAUAAUAACUCUUUUUUCACAAUGCAGAUGAACAUCAAAAAGUAACGAAACAUUUCCAGUUGCAUGAUGAGAGCUUCCAAAAUCAAUUAUCCAAUCCUUGUUGUAGUCUAUGGAAACAUUAGCAUCAAUAUCUAUAUCAGUCUGAUGCACUUCAAAAGUCAUGUUAGUCAGUUGAUCAAUAGCUUCAAUGGAUAAGCAUUGCUCUCAUUUGUGCUGUUCAGAUUUACUAGCUUCAUGUACAACAUUCGAUCAUUCUUUUGUGAGAUCAACACUACAAUUUUGUUUAAUAUGGCCUGAUUUUCCACAUCGACUACACACUACAUUCACUCGACAAUCGUGCUUUAUGUGUCCCAGCUUUCCACAUCUAUAACAAGUUUUUGAAUUUCCCUUGGAUUGUCCCCUUGUUCUGGAUUGCUUGCCAUCACCAGAAUACUGCUUAGAGAAAAAAAUCUUUUUUUCUUGGUCCUUGGUGUAAAGAACGUUCUCAACUUGAGAGAGAGACUUGUUGCUAUAGUUGGAUAUUUGUUUCAGCAGUGCUUCUUGAUUUGAGAGCAAGUUCUCCAACUCAAUGAUAGUAGGUUGAUUUGCCCACCCUUGUAUCGAAGAGAUAAAGGGCAUAAAUUCUUUUCGCAAUCCACGAAUGAGAUAACGGCGCAAACGAGCAUCACUCACAAGUUCCUCUGCAUCUAAUUCUGAUAUAUCAGAACACAAGGUUUGAAGUUUCAAAAAAUAAUAUGAAACUGAAAGGUUACCUUGAGGCAUCCCUGCAAGUUCAUUCUCUAAAUAUUGCAGCCUCGUCGUGUUCUUUUGAGUGAACAGCCUUUCAAGUGUUUCCCACACUUUCUUUGGUGACUCCUCAUCACGAACAUGCUCGAUGUACUCUUUACUGAUCGAUGUUCACAAAGCAAAUAAAGCUUUGCCACACUUUAUCUUCCAUUUCCUCCUUAACUCAACAUUUUGUGGCAUAUCUUCUGAAAUCACAUCAUCACUAGAAAUAAGUUCUCACAAAUCCCGUCCUUGUAGAUAAGCUUCCAUGCAUAGCUUCUAGUAAUUAUAAUUGUUUAACAAGUUUGUCUACAGAGAUACUAGUUCCACCAUUCAUAUUCUCUGAGUAAUAAAAUCAAACACUUGAUAGGCAACCAAGCUCUGAUACCAUGUAACAAAUUAUGGCAGAAUAAAAAGAUUAAAGAAGUAGGAAAAACAUUAGAGAAAUAGAGGAGAUGAAAAGAACAGAUUUUAUUCUUCAAUCUGCAUUCUAUUUCUCGAUGAGAACUAGAACCAGAAAAAUGAGAAAUUGAAGUGCUACAAUGAUGAAUCAGCAGCUUACAAGAGGAAUUUAUACUAAGAAAUUCUCCUAAAGUUUCUCAACUAAUCAAACUGAAAAAACCCAACGUGUUCCUAAACUUAUUAACCUAACAAAAGACCAAUUCCGCUAAUUGACUCCUAACUUAUUCAUUUUUUUUUUUUUUUUUACUCAUUCAACAUUACAUACGGUUGCAAUAAGUUGCACUAAAUUGUAACAUGGGGUGCGUAGGGAAGAAGAUGAACAGUUCAACUUUUUUUAGAUUAUUUAUUUAUUUAUUUAUUUAUUUCUUGGUUUGAUUGACAAUCAAAUAGACGAAUUCCGUCAUAUGUCCUCCCACUGCAAUUGAUGUAAAAGAUUUUGGACCCUAGUUGCAAAAAAUGAAAGAU